GUAAGUAAAAGUCGUAACAAGGUUUCCGUAGGUGAACCUGCGGAAGGAUCAUUACUGAGUGAGGGCCCCUCGGGGUCCAACCUCCCACCCGUGUUUAACGAACCUUGUUGCUUCGGCGGGCCCGCCUCACGGCCGCCGGGGGGCAUCUGCCCCCGGGCCCGCGCCCGCCGAAGCCACCUGUGAACGCUGUCUGAAGUAUGCAGUCUGAGACAAUUAUUAAAUUAAUUAAAACUUUCAACAACGGAUCUCUUGGUUCCG
RNAcentral lists this unclassified non-coding RNA (258 nucleotides) under plant metagenome. Its description in RNAcentral is "partial contains small subunit ribosomal RNA, internal transcribed spacer 1, and 5.8S ribosomal RNA". The stretch from base 1 to 54 matches the Rfam family "Eukaryotic small subunit ribosomal RNA", at positions 1778 to 1831 of the family's 1831-position model. The record is from RNAcentral.